UUAUUAAAUCAGUUAUGGUUCCUUAGAUCGUUUCUUCCUACUUGGAUAACUGUGGCAAUUCUAGAGCUAAUACAUGCAGUGAGCCUGAAGCCCUUUGGGCGACGGGUGCUUUUAUUAGACCAAGAUCGAUCGGGUUUCGGCCCGUAUUGUGUGGUGACUCUGGAUAACUUUGUGCUGAUCGCAUGGCCACGAGCCGGCGACGUUUCUUUCAAGUGUCUGCCUUAUCAACUUUCGAUGGUAGGUUACUUGCUUACCAUGGUUGUUACGGGUAACGGAGAAUCAGGGUUCGAUUCCGGAGAGGGAGCCUGAGAAACGGCUACCACAUCCAAGGAAGGCAGCAGGCGCGCAAAUUACCCACUCCCGGCACGGGGAGGUAGUGACGAAAAAUAACAAUACGGGACUCUUUUGAGGCCCCGUAAUUGAAAUGAGUACACUCUAAAUCCUUUAACGAGGAUCAAUUGGAGGGCAAGUCUGGUGCCAGCAGCCGCGGUAAUUCCAGCUCCAAUAGCGUAUACUAAAGCUGCUGCGGUUAAAAAGCUCGUAGUUGGAUCUCAGUUCCAGACGAGUAGUGCAUCUACCCGAUGCGACGGCUCGGACUGAACAUCAUGCCGGUCCUUUCUUGGUGCACUUCAUUGUGUGCCUCGAGAAGGCCGGUGCUUUUACUUUGAAAAAAUUAGAGUGCUCAACGCAGGCGAGUCGCCUGAAUAAACUUGCAUGGAAUAAUAGAACAAGACCUCGUUUCUGUUCUGUUGGUUUUUGGAAUACGAGGUAAUGAUUAAGAGGGACAGACGGGGGCAUUCGU
This 802-nucleotide ribosomal RNA is filed under the name Dermacentor nuttalli. RNAcentral describes it as "SSU rRNA". It matches the Rfam family "Eukaryotic small subunit ribosomal RNA", at positions 98 to 895 of the family's 1831-position model. The record is from RNAcentral. Lineage: Eukaryota; Metazoa; Arthropoda; Arachnida; Ixodida; Ixodidae.